GAUGAACGCUGGCGGCGUGCCUAAUACAUGCAAGUCGAGCGAACAGACGAGGAGCUUGCUCCUCUGACGUUAGCGGCGGACGGGUGAGUAACACGUGGAUAACCUACCUAUAAGACUGGGAUAACUUCGGGAAACCGGAGCUAAUACCGGAUAAUAUAUUGAACCGCAUGGUUCAAUAGUGAAAGACGGUUUUGCUGUCACUUAUAGAUGGAUCCGCGCCGCAUUAGCUAGUUGGUAAGGUAACGGCUUACCAAGGCAACGAUGCAUAGCCGACAGAAGCGGGGGGGCGGCCACGCUGUGACGGAGACACGUACGAGAGUCCGCCAGAAGGGAACAGGAGGAGAGAUUCCGCAAGGGGCGAGAGACUGACAAAGCAACGCCGCGUGAGUAAUGAAGAUCUUCGGAUCGUAAAACUCUGUUAGUAGGAAAGAACAUAUGUGUAAGUAACUGUGCACAGCUGGACGGUACCUAAUCAGAAAGCCACGGCUAACUACGUG
RNAcentral lists this ribosomal RNA (497 nucleotides) under uncultured bacterium. RNAcentral describes it as "partial 16S ribosomal RNA". It matches the Rfam family "Bacterial small subunit ribosomal RNA", at positions 28 to 507 of the family's 1533-position model. The record is from RNAcentral.